Trichechus manatus latirostris (Florida manatee) is the source of this 360-nucleotide long non-coding RNA. RefSeq lists it as uncharacterized. NCBI's taxonomy places the organism in Eukaryota, Metazoa, Chordata, Mammalia, Sirenia, Trichechidae. The transcript is spliced from 3 exons. The record is from RefSeq and is a predicted model, not a curated record.
GGAGGCCGGAGCACGCAUGCGUGUGAGCUGAGCCGCCAGGGUGCGUAUGACGUCACGGGCGCGCCAGCCUAAAUUCUUCCUAGUUUUCUUUCAAAGAUCGCGGCACAAGUUCUCAACUUCCCUAGUUGAAUUUGAUUCAGACAACACUGCGAAGCAGAAGUGAUAUGCCACUUGAGUUAAUAAAGGAAGUCAACGGGGUGCCUGAAGUUCAGCGGCUAAGUAAAUUUCAGAAAGUAGAUUUCAAAUCCUUACAACCAGGUUGUGAUUAUAGCAAGAAAUAUAUCCAGGGAGAACUUUCACUUAUCUCUUCUUUAACCUAUCGUAGAAAUGGAACAGCUGUUUUGAAAAUUGGGCUACAAG